UCCAAAAAAUCAGAGGUAGCUAUAUUUUUUAUUGAUUGGUGAGAGCUAUGGAAAGAAAUAAAUGGACUUUAAGCACUGAAACGUGAUUUUGUAGCUGUAAUGUCAAUAUGUUGAAUUUUGUGGUAAAAUCCUAUAUCUUGUUUAUUAAUGUGUUGAAUUGACAAGUCAAGCUAGUAGAUAUUUAUAAUAUUAUAGUGGCAUGAUUGGAUGUUUUUAAAUAAAGAUUUACAAAAACUAUGCUAGUUUGGUAGCCCAUACUCGGAAUUGGUCUGCAUUUAAGUUAUCCAAGUACACACACACAGUAGUGAGAAGUGAACACACCGUGAACACAUACACAGAUUAGUGGGCAGCUAUAGAUCCUGCGCCCUGGGAGCAACUGAGGGGUUCAGCAGAACAGGUUAUUUUGCCAGGUGAGGGGGCGUGUUUUGGAGGGUAAGUGACGUCAAUGUAACCUUUUAUUUAAACUGCUGAGAAUGACGGUUCUGGCACUCAGUUGGACUGUUUGUUGAAGUCUGUGUAAAAUGGAGAAAAGUGAAAGCAACAUGGUUGUUUCCAGGUUUGGGAAGAAAGACUUCGUUGUACCUAAAGGUCUGAAUGUUUGCUUCUUGACGGAUUCCAUGUGCCGUGGUUUGGACCAAUACUGUGAGGGCGCAUAUUGUUGGGUUCAUCCUGGAACUACUCUGGUCCGUUCAGCACAACAGCACGUUUAUCAUCUGACAAGAGUAAAUGGGGAUGCCUUGUUAAUCAUUCACAUUGGGACAAAUGAUGUCGCUAGUGGGGUUUCAGCAGAAACCAUCGUUAACCGAAUGGCAUUGCUUGUGGAACGCCUUCGUCACUCUUUUAAGUACAAACUGUAUUUCGCUAUUUGUUCUGUUUUGCCUCGUUAUGUUGAUGACAAGCAAACUAAACAUACAGUGAAGCGAUGCAAUAUAUUGUUGGAAAGAUGGUCUAGUGAGAUGGACAAUGUUGUUUUUUUUUUGCGAACGUGGAGAGCAUUUGUGUCUGGAGGAUGUAUAUGUUCUGAAAUGUUCCGUCCAGAUGGACUUCACUUGAAUGUGAAAGGGAAAGAUCGUCUUUUUCAGUAUUUCAAACAUUUUUUGUGGAACUUUUGUAAUUAUAUUCUUCGUUUUCCAAGCUUGCAGCAAUAAAACUCUAUGGAAAUAAGCUUUUAAAAGUGUUGAUGCAACUUAUUUAUUGUUCGAUAUUUUUGGGGUUAA
Carassius gibelio (silver crucian carp) is the source of this 1217-nucleotide long non-coding RNA. RefSeq lists it as uncharacterized. Lineage: Eukaryota; Metazoa; Chordata; Actinopteri; Cypriniformes; Cyprinidae. The record is from RefSeq and is a predicted model, not a curated record. The transcript is spliced from 3 exons.